This 1016-nucleotide ribosomal RNA is filed under the name uncultured bacterium. RNAcentral's name for it is "bacterial SSU rRNA". It matches the Rfam family "Bacterial small subunit ribosomal RNA", at positions 544 to 1533 of the family's 1533-position model. The record is from RNAcentral.
UUCGGAUCACUGGGCUUAAGGGCGCGUAGGCGGGCUGUCCAGUCUGGGGUGAAAUGCCGCGGCUCAACCGCGGAACGGCCUCGGAUACUGACGGCCUCGAGGGAGGUAGGGGCAUGCGGAACUGUAGGUGGAGCGGUGAAAUGCGUUGAUAUCUACAGGAACUCCGGUGGCGAAGGCGGCGUGCUGGACCUCUUCUGACGCUGAGGCGCGAAAGCUAGGGGAGCGAACGGGAUUAGAUACCCCGGUAGUCCUAGCCCUAAACGAUGGGUACUAGAUAGUGGGCCUGAUCUGGGCUCACUGUCGAAGUUAAAAUGCUAAGUACCCCGCCUGGGGAGUAUGGUCGCAAGGCUGAAACUCAAAGAAAUUGACGGGGGCUCACACAAGCGGUGGAGCAUGUGGCUUAAUUCGAGGCUACGCGAAGAACCUUAUCCUGGACUUGACAUGUGCGAAAGCGCUCGGUAGUAGAACCCGGAAACGGGGACGAACCAGCAAUGGGAGCCGAGUACAGGUGCCGCAUGGCUGUCGUCAGCUCGUGUCGUGAGAUGUCGGGUUAAGUCCCAUAACGAGCGAAACCCCUACCUUCAGUUGCUACCGCAAGGGCACUCUGGAGGGACUGCCUGGGUCAACCAGGAGGAAGGCGGGGAUGACGUCAAGUCCUCAUGGCCUUUAUGUCCAGGGCUGCACACGUGCUACAAUGGCGCGCACAGAGUGAAGCGACCCGGCGACGGGGAGCCAAUCACAGAAAUCGCGCCCCAGUUCAGAUCGCAGCUGCAACUCGCCUGCGUGAAGCCGGAAUCGCUAGUAAUCGCGGGUCAGCAACACCGCGGUGAAUGUGUUCCUGAGCCUUGUACACACCGCCCGUCAAGCCACGAAAGAGAGGGACGUCCGAAGCCGCCUUCACCGGGCGUCGAGACGACUUCUUGAUUGGGACUAGUCGUACAGUACCCGUAUCACUAGUGCGCGCUGCAGUCGACCAUAUGGAGAGCUCCACGCGUGAUGCAUAGCUGAGUAUUCUA